Molecule: non-coding RNA, 30 nt
Filed under: Mus musculus (house mouse)
Lineage: Eukaryota; Metazoa; Chordata; Mammalia; Rodentia; Muridae
Source: RNAcentral
UGGUAGAAGUAGGUAGCCACAUUGGUGAUU